AGCGAACGCUGGCGGCAGGCCUAACACAUGCAAGUCGAGCGGGCACCGCAAGGUGUCAGCGGCAGACGGGAGAGUAACACGUGGGAACGUGCCCUUCGGUCCGGAAUAACUCGGGGAAACCCGUGCUAAUACCGGAUACGCCCUUACGGGGAAAGAUUUAUCGCCGAUGGAGCGGCCCGCGUCUGAUUAGCUAGUUGGUGAGGUAAUGGCUCACCAAGGCGACGAUCAGUAGCUGGUCUGAGAGGAUGAUCAGCCUCACUGGGACUGAGACACGGCCCAGACUCCUACGGGAGGCAGCAGUGGGGAAUAUUGGACAAUGGGCGCAAGCCUGAUCCAGCCAUGCCGCGUGGAUGAUGAAGGCCUUAGGGUUGUAAAGUCCUUUUAACGGGGAAGAUAAUGACGGUACCCGUAGAAUAAGCCCCGGCUAACUUCGUGCCAGCCGCCGCGGUAA
This 451-nucleotide ribosomal RNA is filed under the name uncultured bacterium. RNAcentral describes it as "partial 16S ribosomal RNA". It matches the Rfam family "Bacterial small subunit ribosomal RNA", at positions 29 to 523 of the family's 1533-position model. The record is from RNAcentral.